Molecule: ribosomal RNA, 178 nt
Filed under: uncultured bacterium
Lineage: Bacteria
Description: partial 16S ribosomal RNA
Rfam family: Bacterial small subunit ribosomal RNA
Source: RNAcentral
GAAGCCGGAAUUGCUAGUAAUGGCAGGUCAGCAUACUGCCGUGAAUACGUUCCCGGGCCUUGUACACACCGCCCGUCACACCAUGAGAGUUGGGAAUACCCGAAGCCUGUGAGCUAACUUUUAGAGGCAGCAGUCGAAGGUAGAAUCAAUGAUUGGGGUGAAGUCGUAACAAGGUAGC